CCUUAACCUCAAAUAUUUUAGCUCUUGUGCUAUUUAAAGAUGAUCUUUUUAUGUUUACUUUAAAGAAUUUACUUUGAAGAUGUUAAUUUAGCCAAGAUGGAGCGUUGGUAGUUUGGGGGCUAUGAAGUUUAUGAACAUAAUUGAAAUCAGGAUUCCCUGAGCAAUGUCUCCCAGCAGUUUCCGGUGCCCUUGGUAGACAUUUUCGAACACAGCCCUUUCCAGCCCUUCUCCUUUCUUCCUCAGCCCUCGGUUGGGCAGGCCCUGCUCCAGCAGAGAUUACAUGAAAGGGCAGAGAUGCAGCACUGAGGAAUCCCCUGUCAUCAUUAGGCCAUUUACAGCUGUUGCGUUUAAUAAGGUGCUAAUCCGCAGUGGCGCUCACAUUUGAUGUCGCACGGCCAGAGUCCAUUCCUCCCUGGAAGCCAGCAGGGUCACAGACUGCAGCUGUGCGGGCUCUCUGCUCCAUGCCAGGGAUCUAGGACUCCCUCCUGCACUCACCGGGGCUUCUCCUGCUGCGCAGCAAGGACAGCGAUGUCUGUGCUGGUCGCAGCAGGGUUCCAUCGCAAACCACAUGUCAGAGAGCGCCCAAAGCUAAAGCCAGAAUUACUGUGUCUUUCCUCAUCUGACCUGAGAUUAAAUCAUCUCUGCCCUCCUGGAUUUUUCCAAGAGCAAAAGAAUCCUUCCAGUAAUGGAAACGAUGAGGCUUGUUGGUGGAGAGCUCAUGUUGGUGUGUCUGCAAGGGACAAGCGGAGUGAGCUGUUUCUCCCGACCUCCUGUCCCCUACGGAGACUACUCCAGGGUCAACCCUCGGCCUGCAGCUCGCUGACCUGCCAAGGAGGGGGCAGGGAGGAGCAGAGAUCACAGAAUCUAGAAUCGAAAGCUGCGUGUGAGUUUGGCCUGAGAAAGGAGACAGGAUCAACGUCUUCCCUCUCUCCCCACUAUGAUGGGCUAAGCUGUGUCUGCCGACGUUCACGUGUUGAAGUCCUAACUCUCAGUGUGACUGCAUUUGGACAUGUCGCCUUUAGGGAGAUAAUGAAGGUUAAAUGAGGUCAUCAGGGUGGCUCCUGAUGUGAUAGGACUGGUGUCCUUACGAGAAGAGGAAGAGACUCCAGAGGCCACUCUCUCUCUCUCUGCACACACGGAGGCAAGAUCAGGUGAGGAGAUCUACACGCCAUCUACACGCCAAGGAGAGAGGUCUGAGGAGGAACCACCCUUGAUCUUGGACUUCCAGCCUCUAGAACUGUGAGGAAAUAAACAUCUGCUGCUGAAGCCG
RNAcentral lists this long non-coding RNA (1270 nucleotides) under Equus caballus (horse). RNAcentral describes it as "lncRNA (ENSECAG00000045925.1)". Lineage: Eukaryota; Metazoa; Chordata; Mammalia; Perissodactyla; Equidae. The record is from RNAcentral.